RNAcentral lists this unclassified non-coding RNA (197 nucleotides) under soil metagenome. RNAcentral describes it as "partial contains 5.8S ribosomal RNA, internal transcribed spacer 2, and large subunit ribosomal RNA". The record is from RNAcentral.
AACUGAUACUACCUGCGGGAACCUGCGGAAGGAUCAUUCAUAAUAAAAGUGAAAUAAAUUAUGGCACUUUUAAAACAAUCCAUAUCCACCUUGUGUGCAAUGUUUUUUUUAUAUCAACUCUUUUAAAUACAAAUUGAUCUGAAAUUAUUUUAUAUGAAUACUUAAUUCAAAAAUAUAACUUUCAACAACGGAUCUCU